This 89-nucleotide microRNA precursor is filed under the name Choloepus hoffmanni (Hoffmann's two-fingered sloth). RNAcentral describes it as "miRNA (ENSCHOG00000015477.1)". Lineage: Eukaryota; Metazoa; Chordata; Mammalia; Pilosa; Megalonychidae. The record is from RNAcentral.
UAUUAAAGAAAUGUAGACACCCUGGUGCCUUCACAGAGCUACUGAAUCAGGAUCUCUGGGCUUUGAGCCCAGGAAUCUGCAUUUUUACC